GGAGGAUUAGCUCAGCUGGUUAGAGCACCUGCAUCACACGCAGGGGGUCUGGGGUUCGAGUCCCUAAUUCACAG
RNAcentral lists this transfer RNA (74 nucleotides) under Faecalibacterium prausnitzii. RNAcentral describes it as "tRNA-Val". It matches the Rfam family "tRNA". From Rfam's summary of the family: Transfer RNA (tRNA) molecules are approximately 80 nucleotides in length. Lineage: Bacteria; Bacillati; Bacillota; Clostridia; Eubacteriales; Oscillospiraceae. The record is from RNAcentral.